Molecule: long non-coding RNA, 379 nt
Filed under: Mytilus galloprovincialis (Mediterranean mussel)
Lineage: Eukaryota; Metazoa; Mollusca; Bivalvia; Mytilida; Mytilidae
Source: RNAcentral
CCAAAUACAUGGUCUGUUACUAUAAUAUAAUAUCAAACGACCAAAAACCAUGGUCUCACGUAACAUAUAAUGACCAAAUACAUGGUCUGUUACUAUAAUAUACAUGUAUAAUAUCAAACGACCAAAACCAUGGUCUCUACGUAACAUAUAAUGACCAAUUACAUGGUCUGUUACUAUAAUAAUAUCAAACGACCAAAACCAUGUCUAUGUAACAUAUAAUGAUAAAAACUAUGGUCUUUUACUAAUAUCUAUUGACCAAAACUAUGGUCUACGUAACAUAUAAUGACCAUAUACAUGGUCUUUUACUAUAAUAUACAAUGUAUAAUAUAAAAUGACCAAAAACGAAACAUACAUGUAUAAUAACAAAAUUAAAACACAC